AUGGAGUACCAGCCGAUUGUCUCUACGCUGGACGUGCGCACGGAGCCGAUCACCGUCGAUAUACUCUUCUCCAUGGUGGCCAACUUCGACCAGAGGGUCGAGAUGUUCCAUGGGAACGGCAGCGGCGCCUUCAAGUCGUCGGCGAACGUCGUCUCUCGCGGCCAGCAAGGAGGUAACAAGGGCAACUAUCCCAACCAGAAGGGCAACGGGGGAGGAUCCCAUGGUUCUGGUGGCUACGGCGGCGGCAGUCGCGGUGGCCACAACGGUGGCUAUGGCGGUAACGGCGACGGCCACAACGGUGGCGGCGGUUACUACCAGAACAACAAAGGCGGCGGCGGCGGUGGGGGUUAUCAUGGUGGUGGCGGCGGCUACUAUCACCAGGGCCCUCACAACGGCAACAACAACCCUCGGCGCCCCCAACAGCAACAACAGGGGGCGUAA
RNAcentral lists this ribosomal RNA (441 nucleotides) under Triticum aestivum (bread wheat). RNAcentral's name for it is "partial small subunit ribosomal RNA". Lineage: Eukaryota; Viridiplantae; Streptophyta; Magnoliopsida; Poales; Poaceae. The record is from RNAcentral.